This 306-nucleotide small RNA is filed under the name Castor canadensis (American beaver). Its description in RNAcentral is "7SK RNA (ENSCCNG00000016938.1)". Lineage: Eukaryota; Metazoa; Chordata; Mammalia; Rodentia; Castoridae. The record is from RNAcentral.
GGAUGUUAGAGCAAUCUGACAGUGACAUCUGUCACUCCACUGAUGCCAGGUUUGAUUGGGGGGAUUUCACUGGUAGAACAGUGACCAGUGAUUCCCUCACUGUUCUGUAUUUGUCACCCUACCACAGCCAUUGGUCAACCCCAGGAUGCCACUGAAGUCAAAGAGGGUGAUACUCUCAGAGAGAGGAGGACCAUCCUGCUAGGACCUCAAAGUAAAUCUCAUAGUUUCAUAUGUAAAUGUCAAUUUCCAUUCAAUUUUUUGUUUGUAAAAAUUAAAUGCUUUUAAGAUGUGAUGAAGUUGUUCAUU